UACAGAGGUCUCAAGCGUUGUUCGGAUUCAUUGGGCGUAAAGGGUGCGUAGGUGGCGCGCUAAGUCAGGUGUGAAAUUUCGGAGCUUAACUCCGAAACUGCAUUUGAUACUGGCGUGCUUGAGGACUGGAGAGGAGACUGGAAUUCAUGGUGUAGCAGUGAAAUGCGUAGAUAUCGUAAGGAAGACCAGUGGCGAAGGCGGGUCUCUGGACAGUUCCUGACGCUGAGGCACGAAGGCCAAGGGGAGCAA
This 249-nucleotide ribosomal RNA is filed under the name uncultured bacterium. Its description in RNAcentral is "partial 16S ribosomal RNA". It matches the Rfam family "Bacterial small subunit ribosomal RNA", at positions 524 to 771 of the family's 1533-position model. The record is from RNAcentral.